UGGGGAAUAUUGCACAAUGGGCGCAAGCCUGAUGCAGCCAUGCCGCGUGUAUGAAGAAGGCCUUCGGGUUGUAAAGUACUUUCAGCGGGGAGGAAGGUGUUGAGGCUAAUAACCUCAGCAAUUGACGUUACCCGCAGAAGAAGCACCGGCUAACUCCGUGCCAGCAGCUGCGGUCAUACGGAGGGUGCAAGCGUUAAUCGGAAUUACUGGGCGUAAAGCGCACGCAGGCGGUCUGUCAAGUCGGAUGUGAAAUCCCCGGGCUCAACCUGGGAACUGCAUUCGAAACUGGCAGGCUAGAGUCUUGUAGAGGGGGGUAGAAUUCCAGGUGUAGCGGUGAAAUGCGUAGAGAUCUGGAGGAAUACCGGUGGCGAAGGCGGCCCCCUGGACAAAGACUGACGCUCAGGUGCGAAAGCGUGGGGAGCAAACA
Molecule: ribosomal RNA, 427 nt
Filed under: uncultured bacterium
Lineage: Bacteria
Description: partial 16S ribosomal RNA
Rfam family: Bacterial small subunit ribosomal RNA
Source: RNAcentral